GUUCUGGAAUUUGGGCAGCUAUUUUCCAGCCGGCACGGACUCCAUCUUCUAUGUCACCAACUCUACGAUUCCUUGAAACUGGCAAGACGUCUGAUUGACACAACACAGUGGAAACCUGGAGCGAUCUCCCCAAAAGGCUUUUUGGAUGCUGUGGUCUGGGUCAUUGAAAGCUGUGUCGGG
Long non-coding RNA from Amblyraja radiata (thorny skate), 180 nucleotides. RefSeq lists it as uncharacterized. The record is from RefSeq and is a predicted model, not a curated record. The transcript is spliced from 4 exons. NCBI's taxonomy places the organism in Eukaryota, Metazoa, Chordata, Chondrichthyes, Rajiformes, Rajidae.